Long non-coding RNA from Raphanus sativus (radish), 1248 nucleotides. RefSeq lists it as uncharacterized. NCBI's taxonomy places the organism in Eukaryota, Viridiplantae, Streptophyta, Magnoliopsida, Brassicales, Brassicaceae. The record is from RefSeq and is a predicted model, not a curated record. The transcript has 2 exons.
UCAAUAUCUUUGGAGUCUUGUGGGUUACCAUUUUACCUCAUAAGAUGAAAACUCUAUCAAUUAAAAUGUUCUGUUCAAUUCAAUGCCUCGCCAGACAUCUGUUCCCUUUGCAUGUAAAAGAGAUAAAGAAAGCGACAAAAGCCAUAAAGAAAGAUCUUUAGAGCUGGAUGAAUUGUGAGUGAAUGAGCUGGGGCAAAAGAAACACACAGAAACUGACAGAAGAGAGUAAGCACACAAAAGUAAUUUGCGUAUGUUGCAUUUGCUUCUCUUGCGUGCUCACUGCUCUUUCUGUCAGAUUCCGGUGCUGAUCUCUUUGGCCUGUCCUUGUUCUCUUUGUCUCAGUUUCUCUCUCUCUCACAUACACAAGCUCUCUCUCUCUUGAUUAUCUCCAAACUAAGGUAAGAGGAUACAAUCGGAAUGAUGGCUUGUUCUUGUUUAUUGAUUUUGGUUCGAUCUGAUUGCCUGGCGGUGUGAGAUCUUUAAACUUUAACCAUUAAUAAUUGAUUAUACUUUAAGGUAUGCGUAGUAUCGAAAAAGCAAUUAAUCUAAGUGUUAACGCGUGGUUAAGUUAAAUUAAGCAUGGUAACCUAGUUCUUAAUAGACUGGUCCUUAAUUUCUCGAUUUAUGUAUAUAUUAUUGUUUAUUGUUUAUUUUUUCCUUUUUUCUUUUUAAUCCCUAGUUCCAUUCUAUAUACUCAUAUAAAUAAUAUGUCAUUUGAUUCAUGCGAUCAUCAUAUCAUCUUAUUUUUCAUGAAUAAGAUGUUGCAAGAUAGCUGUUGUUCAAAAAAAAAAAAAAGAUGUUGCAAGAUAGCUUCGUCAUUAUAAGAAUGAGUUGUUCGCUUUUUAGUUAAUUAAAUAGUUAUGCUAGUAUAUACUUCAUUAAAAACAAUUAUGCCGGUAUAUAGUCAGUUGUAAACAUUUUUUAUAAAUACGUGUAAUAAUGUUACAUUUCAUGAUACUUUUUUUUUGUUAAUGAAGAUAUAAUUAUGUGUACCAAUAUUGAUCACAUGAAUCUUGUGGGAAUAUUCUUGUGUGGUUUGUUUUGUUAGAUUAAUUUGAGAGCAUGUUCUUAUUUUCAUCUGCUUUUCAGACACACAUUUUGGAUGCACUAAUACAGCCUAUAGUGUAUGACUUUGUGGUAUUGGUGCCACAUGUUGAUGUGUCAUGUGUUUCCGCUUUUGUACUGUUAAGGACGUUGAAAAAUAUUGUUGUUUGUCGACAAUCAAUACUAGUCAUUAGUUUUUGGUCC